GGCCCGUUGGUCAAGCGGUUAAGACACCUCCCUUUCACGGAGGUAACGGGGGGUUCGAUUCCCCCCACGGGUCACCA
RNAcentral lists this transfer RNA (77 nucleotides) under Cohnella rhizosphaerae. RNAcentral's name for it is "tRNA-Glu". It matches the Rfam family "tRNA". From Rfam's summary of the family: Transfer RNA (tRNA) molecules are approximately 80 nucleotides in length. Their secondary structure includes four short double-helical elements and three loops (D, anti-codon, and T loops). The record is from RNAcentral. Lineage: Bacteria; Bacillati; Bacillota; Bacilli; Caryophanales; Paenibacillaceae.